RNAcentral lists this ribosomal RNA (253 nucleotides) under uncultured bacterium. Its description in RNAcentral is "partial 16S ribosomal RNA". It matches the Rfam family "Bacterial small subunit ribosomal RNA", at positions 524 to 776 of the family's 1533-position model. The record is from RNAcentral.
UACGAAGGGGGCUAGCGUUGCUCGGAAUCACUGGGCGUAAAGGGUGCGUAGGCGGGUCUUUAAGUCAGGGGUGAAAUCCCGGAGCUCAACUCCGGAACUGCCUUUGAUACUGGGUGUCUUGAGUGUGGAGGAGGUGAGUGGAAUUCCGAGUGUAGAGGUGAAAUUCGUAGAUAUUCGGAGGAACACCAGUGGCGAAGGCGGCUCACUGGUCCAUUACUGACGCUGAGGUGCGAAAGCGUGGGGAGCAAACAGG